UACGAAGGGGGCUAGCGUUGCUCGGAAUCACUGGGCGUAAAGCGCACGUAGGCGGACUCUUAAGUCAGGGGUGAAAUCCUGGGAGCUCAACUCCAGAACUGCCUUUGAUACUGGAGGAUCUUGAGUACGGGAGAGGUGAGUGGAACUGCGAGUGUAGAGGUGAAAUUCGUAGAUAUUCGCAAGAACACCAGUGGCGAAGGCGGCUCACUGGCCCUAACUGACGCUGAGGCACGAAAGCG
This 239-nucleotide ribosomal RNA is filed under the name uncultured bacterium. RNAcentral describes it as "partial 16S ribosomal RNA". It matches the Rfam family "Bacterial small subunit ribosomal RNA", at positions 524 to 761 of the family's 1533-position model. The record is from RNAcentral.